CGACGUCGAAGUUAGACCGACCGUACGGGACGGUACGGACCGACGAACGGUUAGUAAACGUACAAAGGAAGUUAGACGGGGACCCGGACGACAAGACGGUGGAGUGAUGUGGUUUAAUUACGUAUGCAACGACGAAAAACCUUAACCCAACCUUUACGUACAUGUACGGAAUACCUUUAGAGAUAGAGGAGUGCUCGAAAGGGAACCGUAACACAGGUGCUGCAUGGCUGUCGUCAGCUCGUG
Molecule: ribosomal RNA, 243 nt
Filed under: uncultured bacterium
Lineage: Bacteria
Description: partial 16S ribosomal RNA
Rfam family: Bacterial small subunit ribosomal RNA (bases 64-243)
Source: RNAcentral